CCCAAAUUUGAACAUCAUUGAUGUUCAUCGGAUUUACAGAGUGACGACAAACCCCGUCAGCAUGUUAGAUAAAGGAUUUAAGUUAUAUGCUGCAUCAUAUAUACACAACUACGAAGAUUAAGCUUCUGGAUUCAUCGCCAGUGCUCCUGUGUGGCAGGUGCUGUUAUGUGCAAUCACACAGUGGCACUGCUCUUCCAAACAGCACACUACUCACAACUCAGAGUGCCGGUUGUCCCCUGUGCAUAGCUGCACCGAAUCUGAACAGCAAUGGCACAAGCCACGGACAGUGGUGUGAAGCCAGGACCUAUCAACUCUAUGAUCUUCACUAAGCCGGUACCAAAUAGGAUGGCCCAGACUGAGUACGGAGUGGAUUCUACAGAGGCAUUGUGGGUCCAUUACCAGAUCCCUGACCUGACAAGCCCCUUGUGGAAAGUGCCUUUGGGCUGGUGCAGGAGGGCAGUGUUCUGUCAUGUCAGCAGCCGGUUUUGACAACCCGGCACAUCA
Oreochromis aureus is the source of this 504-nucleotide long non-coding RNA. Lineage: Eukaryota; Metazoa; Chordata; Actinopteri; Cichliformes; Cichlidae. The record is from Ensembl.